RNAcentral lists this small RNA (99 nucleotides) under Klebsiella pneumoniae. Its description in RNAcentral is "partial RtT sRNA". It matches the Rfam family "RtT RNA", at positions 1 to 98 of the family's 130-position model. From Rfam's summary of the family: This family represents a bacterial cis-regulatory element known as RtT RNA. Lineage: Bacteria; Pseudomonadati; Pseudomonadota; Gammaproteobacteria; Enterobacterales; Enterobacteriaceae. The record is from RNAcentral.
UAUUCUGCCCUACAGGGAAGGAUGAGAAGCUUCGAUUAAGGUUCGACUCGAGCGAAGCGAGAGAACGUUGCCGCAGGCAACGGCCCGAAGGGCGAGGCG